GUUUGUAAACUAAAAGUGGAGGUUCAGUUUUUUCUUUUGAGUAGUGCACAGCACGUAGUGAAUUUUUUUUUAUUUCUUUUUGCGUGGUGACCAAUUUUCAGGCGAGUUCUAAAUUUUUUAGGUUUUUUUUUUUUUUUUUUCAUUAUUUUUUAUUGGAUAAAAUUUAUGUAUAGUAUUUUAGGUGCUGUUACUUAAGUUCCUCUCUUAAGAUUCUUUCAUAUGGCUACUUAAUUUUAAAAAUAUACUUCUAUAAUGAGAAAAAAUCCACGUGAUAAAAUCUUAAGAGAGUGAUCUAAAGAAUAAUAUCUAAGGAAUAGUAUCUAAGUAUUGUAGUUAAGUCUUACCUCUUCUUUUUUUUUUUUUUUUUUUUUUUUUUUUGGGUAAACAAAACACUGUUACUCCCUCUUUCUCCUCCCAUAGACAAACCCACGCCUCUCAACCUCUCCCAAAAAGACUGGAUUAGCAGGAUAUUGAUUUUGGGAUUAGAGAGGGUGUUGAUUUUAGGACAUAGCUUUUGGGAUUGGAGAAGUAAAGUAUUGCUGUGGGCUCCUGAAUUUGUGACUCUAUUUUGUGAAGCUUCUAUGCUUGUGCUUGUGCUGUGUGCUCCAGAUGUUUGCUGAAAAGGGCUAGGCUUAUUGGCUUAGUCUUGUAGUUGUGGGGUACCCUAAUGCAAAACCAAGGUGCAAGAUGCAAACUACUAGCUGGAGGAUCGAGUAGAAGAACUCUAGGAUGCAAACUGUAGGCUGGAGGAGAAGAUGGAUUGCAUCAUACAAUAUUUGAGGAGCAAGGGUGACAGUGACAUUUGUGGCAGUGGGGAGAGCUCAUCUACUAACUAGAACACACCUUGAUAUGGGAUUGGUGGCAAAAAGAUAGCUUUUGUGAGGCUACUUGAACUCAAAUAAUUUUCUAUAAAGUUUGGAAGCUAAGACAUUAUUUGUAUAUAAAUGGUUGUAAUUACUUUGUAAACAUCUUUAUUGCAUUUUUAGAUUGUAUGGAUGUUUUUUUUAUGGAUUUGGUUAGAAAUGAAUGGAUGUUUGUUUUUAUGGAUUUGGUUAGAAAUGAA
Molecule: long non-coding RNA, 1063 nt
Organism: Quercus robur (English oak)
Lineage: Eukaryota; Viridiplantae; Streptophyta; Magnoliopsida; Fagales; Fagaceae
Exons: 5
Source: RefSeq, a predicted model, not a curated record